CCCCGCCAUUUUGCUCCGCCCACCUCUCCCAGAAGCACUAUUUUUAAUAGAUCCAACUGGAAACUACACAAGGAAAAUGUGUGUGUCAAGAGUAGAAUGGGUCAGUCAAAUGUAGUAUAUUCACACAACAGAAUACUACACAGCAAUGAGGGUUAAUGAUCUACAAUUGCACUCAACAAUGUGGAGGAAUCUGAUGAACAUAUUCUUAAGUGAAAGAAGUCAGAUAUGAGACAAUAUCGAUUGCCUUGUUCAUCCUUAUCCUUGGUGCUGGGCUAGACGCAAGAUGUGCGGAAACUCCUAAGACAGGCCUGCCCUCAAGGCACUCGCAGACCGCAGGGAGACAGGAAUAACAAGCUCUGUGAUAAGCCCUGGCCAAGCCCCACCCAGGAGAUAUGCCAUGGAAACGGGAUGCCUGGGUGGCAGGGAUCUUUGAAUGGUUGACCCCAUAUUACGUCUACCUGCCUGAUGAAGGAAAGCCAAAAGCUGGAGAGGCCCACAUAGAAAGAAGCUGUGGGCCACCAUCCGCCAUGGCCAGCAAGGAACUGAGAGCCUCAGUCCAGCAGCUGGGGAAGAACUGAGUCCUGCCAAUAACCACAGAGUGAACUUGGCAACAGAUCUUGACCCAGCUGAGCCUUCAGGCUGGAGCACUUAAUGGGCGGUGCAAAUGCCUUGAUGCUUUGUCGUCCUGCCAUGGUGACAAUGGAAGAGCCACCAGACUGGAGGAGCUGAGGACACUGAGCUAUCAUAUGGGGACAGCUGCCCUGGAGAGCCGCCCAGACUCACAGCUGACUUUGUCCCUACAGUGACCAGUGAGAAGGCGCUGAAAUGUCCCUGUGGAGAGAGAACGGGCUGGUCAAAGCUGGAGCUGACUGGGGCUGAGGCCUGCUAAGUUCUGGCACCCGGCCUGUACGCGGCUGGUCUGAGUUGGUCAUGGCUGUGCCACAGAAGGCCUGACAGAAAAGGUGUCCCAAAGGAGACAGGAAAAUGGGAAAACCAGAC
RNAcentral lists this long non-coding RNA (999 nucleotides) under Equus caballus (horse). Its description in RNAcentral is "lncRNA (ENSECAG00000029907.2)". Lineage: Eukaryota; Metazoa; Chordata; Mammalia; Perissodactyla; Equidae. The record is from RNAcentral.